Molecule: ribosomal RNA, 445 nt
Filed under: uncultured Microbacteriaceae bacterium
Lineage: Bacteria; Bacillati; Actinomycetota; Actinomycetes; Micrococcales; Microbacteriaceae
Description: bacterial SSU rRNA
Rfam family: Bacterial small subunit ribosomal RNA
Source: RNAcentral
CCUACGGGAGGCUGCAGUGGGGAAUAUUGCACAAUGGGCGCAAGCCUGAUGCAGCAACGCCGCGUGAGGGACGACGGCCUUCGGGUUGUAAACCUCUUUUAGCAGGGAAGAAGCGAAAGUGACGGUACCUGCAGAAAAAGCACCGGCUAACUACGUGCCAGCAGCCGCGGUAAUACGUAGGGUGCAAGCGUUAUCCGGAAUUAUUGGGCGUAAAGAGCUCGUAGGCGGUUUGUCGCGUCUGCUGUGAAACCCCGAGGCUCAACCUCGGGCCUGCAGUGGGUACGGGCAGACUAGAGUGCGGUAGGGGAGAUUGGAAUUCCUGGUGUAGCGGUGGAAUGCGCAGAUAUCAGGAGGAACACCGAUGGCGAAGGCAGAUCUCUGGGCCGUAACUGACGCUGAGGAGCGAAAGCGUGGGGAGCAAACAGGCUUAGAUACCCCAGUAGUC